GACAGAUGAGUCUAUGCACAGCUCUGGAAAAGAAGUGAUUUAAGCAGAUAUUAAGAGAUGUACUGCAGUUGAGAGGAUGGGCAACAAUCCUUUCAAAGGACUGCUUCAUGCAGAGUCUUCAACAGGGAAAAGUGGCAAAGAAUACAAGUCACAUACCCCGUAUGAUAAAAUGAGAGCACAGUUAAAACAGGAUGCUUACUUGAAGGUGGAAGAACUGCAUGUACGUUAGAAGGUCUAUAGCUUUGGGAAACCAUGAGGUUCUGUAAGCAUUUCUUGGACGCCCCUGGAAGCAAGCAGCUCUGAGGAAACGUACCCAUACACCACAAGUCACUUGCUGCCUUAAAGAUUCUCAAACGCCUACCACCUCAAAGUCUCUGUAAGAAAGGCGUGGAGGAACCUCACACAAAAAUAAAGCAACCUCACUGCCAACUGUCAGAGCAGCUAAGAAAAGUUCACAGGAUGCUUAAACCCACUUUGAACUGCAAGAUACUUUUGCUCUGCAACAGCAAACAAGAAGCAUCUUAAGGUUUACUACCCAUGCCAGAUGUUCCAGAAGGUUUCAUAGGGAAAAACCAGGCAUCAACACACCUGGACUCAAACCACCUGAACUGCUGAACUAAGCAGGCAGAAUCAUAUUCAGAAUAUAUUUAGACAAGUGAUUUUUCCCAGCAGCAUGAAAACAGUCAUAUCUAAAAUAAAU
Molecule: non-coding RNA, 700 nt
Organism: Cyanistes caeruleus (blue tit)
Lineage: Eukaryota; Metazoa; Chordata; Aves; Passeriformes; Paridae
Source: RefSeq, a predicted model, not a curated record